Mustela putorius furo (domestic ferret) is the source of this 136-nucleotide non-coding RNA. Lineage: Eukaryota; Metazoa; Chordata; Mammalia; Carnivora; Mustelidae. The record is from Rfam.
GUCUACGGCCAUACCACCCUGAACGCGCCCGAUCUCGUCUGAUCUCAGAAGCUAAGCAGGGUCGGGCCUGGUUAGUACUUGGAUGGGAGGAAACAAACUGAGGUUUGCUGGAGGGAAGAUGGGGUGACUGGGUGAU